AAGGGAGACCUAAUUCGGGUAGAAGACGAAAAAAUAGUAGUCGAAACCAAGAAUCAAUCCCAAAAGGUCGGAACGAGGUAUGUGGCUUUCAAACUAGGUUCUGGGUUCACAAAAGACCUGAAUCAGGAACAAGGGCUAUUAGCUCAGGUGGUUAGAGCGCACCCCUGAUAAGGGUGAGGUCCCUGGUUCGAGUCCAGGAUGGCCCACCUGCACAGGUGGCAAAAACAAGAGAAACGAGGAAUCAGCACCUUGUCUUACUUACAUAGUAAGAGAGAAUGCUGGCUCUGAGUAAAGAGUCCAGAGGAACCUUGAAAACUGCAUAGAGCUAGGUGAAAAAGCCAAAAAAGAAGACCGCAA
RNAcentral lists this transfer RNA (357 nucleotides) under uncultured Microcystis sp. RNAcentral's name for it is "partial 16S-23S ribosomal RNA intergenic spacer". The stretch from base 133 to 206 matches the Rfam family "tRNA". The record is from RNAcentral. Lineage: Bacteria; Bacillati; Cyanobacteriota; Cyanophyceae; Chroococcales; Microcystaceae.